AGUCGAGCGGACAGAUGGGAGCUUGCUCCCUGAUGUUAGCGGCGGACGGGUGAGUAACACGUGGGUAACCUGCCUGUAAGACUGGGAUAACUCCGGGAAACCGGGGCUAAUACCGGAUGGUUGUUUGAACCGCAUGGUUCAAACAUAAAAGGUGGCUUCGGCUACCACUUACAGAUGGACCCGCGGCGCAUUAGCUAGUUGGUGAGGUAACGGCUCACCAAGGCGACGAUGCGUAGCCGACCUGAGAGGGUGAUCGGCCACACUGGGACUGAGACACGGCCCAGACUCCUACGGGAGGCAGCAGUAGGGAAUCUUCCGCAAUGGACGAAAGUCUGACGGAGCAACGCCGCGUGAGUGAUGAAGGUUUUCGGAUCGUAAAGCUCUGUUGUUAGGGAAGAACAAGUACCGUUCGAAUAGGGCGGUACCUUGACGGUACCUAACCAGAAAGCCACGGCUAACUACGUGCCAGCAGCCGCGGUAAUACGUAGGUGGCAAGCGUUGUCCGGAAUUAUUGGGCGUAAAGGGCUCGCAGGCGGUUUCUUAAGUCUGAUGUGAAAGCCCCCGGCUCAACCGGGGAGGGUCAUUGGAAACUGGGGAACUUGAGUGCAGAAGAGGAGAGUGGAAUUCCACGUGUAGCGGUGAAAUGCGUAGAGAUGUGGAGGAACACCAGUGGCGAAGGCGACUCUCUGGUCUGUAACUGACGCUGAGGAGCGAAAGCGUGGGGAGCGAACAGGAUUAGAUACCCUGGUAGUCCACGCCGUAAACGAUGAGUGCUAAGUGUUAGGGGGUUUCCGCCCCUUAGUGCUGCAGCUAACGCAUUAAGCA
RNAcentral lists this ribosomal RNA (825 nucleotides) under Bacillus subtilis. RNAcentral's name for it is "bacterial SSU rRNA". It matches the Rfam family "Bacterial small subunit ribosomal RNA", at positions 60 to 866 of the family's 1533-position model. Lineage: Bacteria; Bacillati; Bacillota; Bacilli; Caryophanales; Bacillaceae. The record is from RNAcentral.